Molecule: ribosomal RNA, 207 nt
Filed under: uncultured bacterium
Lineage: Bacteria
Description: partial 16S ribosomal RNA
Rfam family: Bacterial small subunit ribosomal RNA
Source: RNAcentral
UACGUAGGCGGAUUCGCAGGCAUCUUGUGAAAUCCCUCCGCUCAACGGAGGAACUGCAGGGUGAACCGCGUGUCUUGAGACAGGUAGGGGCUGUCGGAACGCUAGGUGGAGUGGUGAAAUGCGUUGAUAUCUAGCGGAACGCCGAAGGAGAAAUCAGGCAGCUGGGCCUGUUCUGACGCUGAGGUACGAAAGCGUGGGGAGCGAACG